AGUCAAGUAAUUAAGUGCAUGUGGUGGAUGCCUUGGCAGUCAGAGGCGAUGAAAGACGUGAUAGCCUGCGAAAAGCUCCGGGGAGGCGGCAAAUAUCCUUUGAUCCGGAGAUGUCUGAAUGGGGGAACCCACCUACUUUAAGGUAGGUAUUGCAACAUGAAUACAUAGUGUUGCAAGGCGAACGAGGGGAAGUGAAACAUCUCAGUACCCUUAGGAAAAGAAAUCAAUUGAGAUUCCCUCAGUAGCGGCGAGCGAACGGGGAUCAGCCCAUUAAGUUAUGUGUGUUUUAGUGGAACGCUCUGGGAAGUGCGAACGUAGAGGGUGAUAUUCCCGUACACGAAAGGGCACACAUAAUGAUGACGAGUAGGGCGAGGCACGUGAAACCUUGUCUGAAUAUGGGGGGACCAUCCUCCAAGGCUAAAUACUCCUGACUGACCGAUAGUGAACCAGUACCGUGAGGGAAAGGCGAAAAGAACCCCUGUGAGGGGAGUGAAAUAGAUCCUGAAACCGCAUGCAUACAAGCAGUGGGAGCACCUUCGUGGUGUGACUGCGUACCUUUUGUAUAAUGGGUCAGCGACUUAUAUUCAGUAGCAAGGUUAACCGUAUAGGGGAGCCGUAGAGAAAUCGAGUCUUAAUAGGGCGUUUAGUUGCUGGGUAUAGACCCGAAACCAGGCGAUCUAUCCAUGAGCAGGUUGAAGGUUGGGUAACACUAACUGGAGGACCGAACCCACUGUCGUUGAAAAGCCAGGGGAUGACUUGUGGAUAGGGGUGAAAGGCUAAUCAAGCCUGGUGAUAGCUGGUUCUCCCCGAAAGCUAUUUAGGUAGCGCCUCGGACGAAUACCAUAGGGGGUAGAGCACUGUUUCGGCUAGGGGGUCAUCCCGACUUACCAAACCGAUGCAAACUCCGAAUACCUAUGAGUACUAUCCGGGAGACAGACUGCGGGUGCUAACGUCCGUAGUCAAGAGGAAAACAAUCCAGACCGCCAGCUAAGGCCCCAAAAUCAUAGUUAAGUGGGAAACGAUGUGGGAAGGCAUAGACAGCUAGGAGGUUGGCUUAGAAGCAGCCACCCUUUAAAGAAAGCGUAAUAGCUCACUAGUCGAGUCGGCCUGCGCGGAAGAUGUAACGGGGCUAAAACUAUGUGCCGAAGCUGCGGAUGUAUACUUUGUAUACGUGGUAGGGGAGCGUUCUGUAAGCCGAUGAAGGUGUGUUGAGAAGCAUGCUGGAGGUAUCAGAAGUGCGAAUGCUGACGUGAGUAACGACAAAACGGGUGAAAAACCCGUUCGCCGAAAGACCAAGGGUUCCAGUCCAACGUUAAUCGGGGCUGGGUGAGUCGACCCCUAAGGCGAGGCCGAAAGGCGUAGUCGAUGGGAAAAUGGUUAAUAUUCCAUUACUUCUGUGUAAUGCGAUGAGAGGACGGAGAAGGCUAAAUCAGCCUGGCGUUGGUUGUCCAGGUGAAAGGAUGUAGGCAUGUAUCUUAGGCAAAUCCGGGGUACUCUAUGCUGAGAUCUGAUAGCAAGCUGUACUUGUACAGCGAAGUGGUUGAUGCCAUGCUUCCAGGAAAAGUCUCUAAGCUUCAGUUACACAGGAAUCGUACCCGAAACCGACACAGGUGGUCAGGUCGAGUAGACCAAGGCGCUUGAGAGAACUCUGCUGAAGGAACUAGGCAAAAUGGUACCGUAACUUCGGGAGAAGGUACGCUGUUGUUGGUGAUGGAACUCGCUUCCUGAGCUGACGACAGCCGCAGAAACCAGGCCGCUGCAACUGUUUAUUAAAAACAUAGCACUCUGCAAACACGAAAGUGGACGUAUAGGGUGUGAUGCCUGCCCGGUGCUGGAAGGUUAAUUGAUGGGGUUAGCGUAAGCGAAGCUCUUGAUCGAAGCCCCAGUAAACGGCGGCCGUAACUAUAACGGUCCUAAGGUAGCGAAAUUCCUUGUCGGGUAAGUUCCGACCUGCACGAAUGGCAUAAUGAUGGCGGCGCUGUCUCCAGCAGAGGCUCAGUGAAAUCGAAAUCGCUGUGAAGAUGCAGUGUACCCGCGGCUAGACGGAAAGACCCCGUGAACCUUUACUGCAGCUUGACACUGAACUUUGACCUUACUUGUGUAGGAUAGGUGGGAGGCUUUGAAGCUGGAACGCUAGUUCCAGUGGAGCCGUCCUUGAAAUACCACCCUGGUAAUGUUGAGGUUCUAACUCUGUCCCGUGAUCCGGGACGAGGACCGUGUCUGGUGGGUAGUUUGACUGGGGCGGUCUCCUCCUAAAGAGUAACGGAGGAGUACGAAGGUGCGCUCAGCGUGGUCGGAAAUCACGCGUAGAGUAUAAAGGCAAAAGCGCGCUUAACUGCGAGACCCACAAGUCGAGCAGGUACGAAAGUAGGUCUUAGUGAUCCGGUGGUUCUGUAUGGAAGGGCCAUCGCUCAACGGAUAAAAGGUACUCUGGGGAUAACAGGCUGAUACCGCCCAAGAGUUCAUAUCGACGGCGGUGUUUGGCACCUCGAUGUCGGCUCAUCUCAUCCUGGGGCUGAAGCAGGUCCCAAGGGUAUGGCUGUUCGCCAUUUAAAGAGGUACGCGAGCUGGGUUUAGAACGUCGUGAGACAGUUCGGUCCCUAUCUACCGUGGGCGCUGGAAAUUUGAGAGGAUCUGCUCCUAGUACGAGAGGACCAGAGUGGACGAACCUCUGGUGUACCGGUUGUGACGCCAGUCGCAUCGCCGGGUAGCUAUGUUCGGAAGGGAUAACCGCUGAAAGCAUCUAAGCGGGAAGCCUACCUCAAGAUAAGAUUUCCCUAGGACUUUAUGUCCUCUAAAGAGCCGUUCGAGACUAGGACGUUGAUAGGUUGGGUGUGGAAGCAUAGUGAUAUGUGAAGCUGACCAAUACUAAUUGCUCGUGAGGCUUGACUAU
RNAcentral lists this ribosomal RNA (2893 nucleotides) under Acinetobacter baumannii. RNAcentral's name for it is "23S ribosomal RNA". It matches the Rfam family "Bacterial large subunit ribosomal RNA". The record is from RNAcentral. Lineage: Bacteria; Pseudomonadati; Pseudomonadota; Gammaproteobacteria; Moraxellales; Moraxellaceae.